This 253-nucleotide ribosomal RNA is filed under the name uncultured bacterium. Its description in RNAcentral is "partial 16S ribosomal RNA". It matches the Rfam family "Bacterial small subunit ribosomal RNA", at positions 524 to 776 of the family's 1533-position model. The record is from RNAcentral.
UACAGAGGUCCCAAGCGUUGCUCGGAAUCACUGGGCGUAAAGGGUGCGUAGGCGGGUUUUUAAGUCAGAGGUGAAAUCCUGGAGCUCAACUCCAGAACUGCCUUUGAUACUGAGAAUCUUGAGUAUGGGAGAGGUGAGUGGAACUGCGAGUGUAGAGGUGAAAUUCGUAGAUAUUCGCAAGAACACCAGUGGCGAAGGCGGCUCACUGGCCCAUAACUGACGCUGAGGCACGAAAGCGUGGGGAGCAAACAGG